This 253-nucleotide ribosomal RNA is filed under the name uncultured bacterium. RNAcentral's name for it is "partial 16S ribosomal RNA". It matches the Rfam family "Bacterial small subunit ribosomal RNA", at positions 524 to 776 of the family's 1533-position model. The record is from RNAcentral.
GACGAACCGUGCGAACGUUGUUCGGAAUCACUGGGCUUAAAGGGCGCGUAGGCGGGCUGCCAAGUCUGGGGUGAAAUCCCACGGCUCAACCGUGGAACGGCCCCGGGUACGGGCGGCCUCGAGGGGGGUAGGGGCGUGCGGAACUGUGGGUGGAGCGGUGAAAUGCGUUGAUAUCCACAGGAACUCCGGUGGCGAAGGCGGCACGCUGGACCCCCACUGACGCUCAUGCACGAAAGCGUGGGGAGCAAACAGG